CACAAUAAAAUACAGGGCUCAGAUAUGAACAAGAAAAAAAGCAAACGCAGCAGCACUGUUUGUGGUCCUUUGGAUCAGUUCUACAUUUAUAUGUUUACUUAGGCACAGUAAAGGGUUCCAGGAUUGGCAAAUAUCAAAAUAAUAAGGAUUAUGGCCCAGAUUUAUCAAACUUUGUGAGGGAAAACUGGAGAGAUUUUUCCCCAGCAACCAAUCACAGCUCAGCUAACGAGCUGUGGUAAAGUGAAAGCUGAGCUGUGAUUGGCUGCUAUGGGAAAAUCACUCCAGGUUUUUCCUUCACAAAGUUUGAUAAAUCUGGGCCUAUUUCUGUUUCUGUUGUGUUAUUUUCUCUUAAGCCUUUAGAACGCCAAAUUGAAUGAUAAAUGGGCAUUAAAUCAUCCAGGCCAGAGUAAGAGGAAGAAAGUGACAGAUCUGGUCUAAGUGACUCAUCAUAUGGGACUGGACUCUCUUCACCCCUGAUGAAGACCUAGUGCAAAAUGCACGUUGGGAUACGGAGGUGCGUAGUUUCUGGCAACACACAUGGCAGGACACUCUGAACUCAGAAUAUCAUUUCAAAACAUAUCUGUGGAAAUAUAGAAUUUAUGGACGUAAAUGUGCUACAAUUAUCAAUAUGUAUAGUAACUAUGUUACCAGGGCAAUUUACUAUUAUUAAAUGAUGUGUCAUUUAGUUACCUGCUUAUACCUCUUAUAUCUUUACAGGGCUACUCUGCCGCUAGACAUCUUAUCCCCUAUUCAAAGGAGAGGGGAUAAGAUGUCUGAUCACAGGGGUUCCGCCGAUGGGGACCCCUGUGAUCUCCCUGCUGCACCCGGCAUUUGUUUAGAGCUUCAGCUGCAACGCCGGAGGUUUGUGACAUCACAGCCGCACCCCGCAUCGCCAGUCAUCCAGCACGGAGCGAAGUUCACUCCAUGCACCGGAUGUCUGGGGUGCCGCAGCUGAGAUCGGAUAGCGGAUAAGAUGUCUUGGGGGUGGAGUACCCCUUUAAACAUAAAAAAAAACUAGUAUUUAAGAAUUCUAAUGUUUAAUAAAAAAAGGCAAGAGUGCAUUCAAAGAUCAUAGAGCUAGAUAGUAAAAUUCUGAAUGGUCACAACCUCCAAUGAAAGUUCUAAGAAAUUGAAAAAUUCUGUCAGUCAUUUCCCUGUCUGGUCAAGAUUCUGUGCAGCUCUAUUUUUAUAAUACAGUAUUAGAAUUACUAUAUUAUUUGCAUAGGGGAGCAAUGUUUGCCUUAUUUUAUUAGAAUUUAUCUGAUUUUAACUGCAUGCAGCCACCACUAGGGUUAAUCUAACUGCAUAUGGAUUUUCACAUCGAGUAGUGGACUCACAGCGAGCUAUAUAUGUAGCCACUAACACAGUGGGGAAUAGUUGAGCCCUACAGUAGUCACAUGAAGACUUGUACCAAAAAUAACAAAGACAAAGUGCUGUAGACCAAUUAUGGUUGUGCAAAUGACACAACAACCUAUGAAGCAUGUAGAAUCAUAUCAGUGGCACAGUCAUACUUGGACUAGGAUUACCGACUGGGAUUUCAGAUUUAAAAAAGGAAUAACAAGACCAGGAACCUGUAAAGCUCUUGUGGGAACAAAAUUAUGGAU
Long non-coding RNA from Hyla sarda, 1604 nucleotides. RefSeq lists it as uncharacterized. The transcript is spliced from 3 exons. Lineage: Eukaryota; Metazoa; Chordata; Amphibia; Anura; Hylidae. The record is from RefSeq and is a predicted model, not a curated record.